AGAACGUUCAGGAAACGAGUUAGAGACAAUACAACAAACUGAAACGACACACACUGGUUCUGCACUUGCAUUUAAUGACCCAUCCAAUGAUCCCGUGAACAAUAAAUGGAGUUUUAACCUUGAAAUGCUGAGGCCUCGAUUUACUAAAGGUUUGCGUGCGAUGACUCCGUUUACACUGUACUGUAGUUUGGCUCUUGUGGGCGUGGCCUGUUCAUUUAUUUACAGUUCCAGUGAGGAAUAGUACUAAUCGCCUGCAGCCCAGUCUAUGCGCACCAUUCUGUUUAAAAUGUAUUUAAGUUUGAUUGACAUGUCACGUGCUCGGAUUCGUACUAGCUACUCAUGUUGCGUUAGCAAAGAAAGCUAAAUGUACGAGCUAGGUUCGCUCGAAAGAUGCACCGGCGAUCUCCUUCCUUCCAAGCUUUAUUUGUUUCACAAUGUCGCUAUAUACACGUUUACCGAGAGGUCGUAUAUGACAGGAUGAAAUGAAACCGGGCUCGUGUGCAUCAAACAGUCAGUCAAUGGGAACUAAUUGCGGCUAGGAACUAAGGUUGAGAGUGCGGAACAUAAAAAAACAAACAAAACGCACACACACACACACACACACGCCUUUGGAUUGGUCCAAAGAACCACUUGAGCCAAUUGUUAGGAUUCGUCGCUCACUGCGUGCUCUUAAUUAUUGAUCAUUAUUUACUCGUGGAACACUUUCCUAAAUAUCUCAGUCAGAGAAUAAAUAAAUGAAGCAACAGUGUCUGGUCAGUGUCACACCAUGCUCAGGAUCAUCACACACACACACAUUAGAUAUGUACAUUCCUGCAUCAUGUAGUCCUUGUAAACAUCAAACCACUGUUUUUAACACACCCUUGCGUGAACGGACAAACUGUAUUUCUUUUAAACCAGUAGCCGAAUAAAUAAAUAAAUAAAUAAAUAAAUAAAUAAAUAACCCAAAAGUAAAACAAUCUCUUCUUCUGUUGCGUAGCUUUAGCAUUGUUCUUGUACUAUAGGCUAGUGAGUGAUGCUAAGUAGAAAAAAUUAAAAAAUAAAAACCCCUUAGCUGAUAUUCUCACUAUUUAAAGGAUUACUAUUUAAAUUAGAAACCGAAUUCGACUGGUUCACAUUUUAACUAGCUAGCAGCUAAUCGGCUAGGUUGCUACUUAUGAUCGCUAGCAACCGCUAAAACUCAGCGGAAUGGCCGAGGUAUAGCUAGCGAGCAAGCGCUUCCCUUCCGGGUCGUUCCAAUACGACGUGCGAAUGUCACGCGAAGCGAAAAGAACCGCUAGGAGAAGCUAGCUCCUUUUCUGCUAGCAAGAUUUUCUUCACGUUCGUGCUGACUGC
Molecule: long non-coding RNA, 1332 nt
Organism: Ictalurus punctatus (channel catfish)
Lineage: Eukaryota; Metazoa; Chordata; Actinopteri; Siluriformes; Ictaluridae
Source: Ensembl